RNAcentral lists this long non-coding RNA (201 nucleotides) under Elaeis guineensis (African oil palm). RNAcentral's name for it is "long non-coding RNA (EGUI_LNC021866)". The record is from RNAcentral. Lineage: Eukaryota; Viridiplantae; Streptophyta; Magnoliopsida; Arecales; Arecaceae.
CCCGGUCUCCUACGGGAGCCGGGCUCCGUCCUCAACGUCAACUGCUGGUAAGCCUCGUCCGGACUCCUACGGGAGCCGGACUUCGCCUUUAACUUUAAUUGCAGGAAGACUCCGCCCGGACUCCUACGGGAGCCGGGCUUCAUCCUCGACUCCAACGGCUGCAGAUAGACUUCGUCCGGACUCCUACGGGAGCCGGACUCC